RNAcentral lists this ribosomal RNA (208 nucleotides) under uncultured Methanomicrobiales archaeon. Its description in RNAcentral is "partial 16S ribosomal RNA". It matches the Rfam family "Archaeal small subunit ribosomal RNA", at positions 1132 to 1338 of the family's 1478-position model. The record is from RNAcentral. Lineage: Archaea; Methanobacteriati; Methanobacteriota; Methanomicrobia; Methanomicrobiales.
UGGGCAACGGUAGGUCAGCAUGCCCCGAAUUAUCUGGGGCUACACGCGGGCUACAAUGGGUGGGACAAUGGGUAUCGACACCGAAAGGUGAAGGCAAUCUCCUAAACCCAUCCGUAGUUCGGAUUGUGGGCUGCAACUCGCCCACAUGAAGCUGGAAUCUGUAGUAAUCGUGUCUCAAAAUGGCACGGUGAAUAUGUCCCUGCUCCUU